CUACGGGCGCUGCAGUGGGGAAUAUUGGACAAUGGGCGAAAGCCUGAUCCAGCCAUGCCGCGUGUGUGAAGAAGGCCUUCGGGUUGUAAAGCACUUUCAGUGGGGAAGAAAGCCUUGGGGCUAAUACCCUCGAGGAAGGACAUCACCCACAGAAGAAGCACCGGCUAACUCCGUGCCAGCAGCCGCGGUAAUACGGAGGGUGCGAGCGUUAAUCGGAAUUACUGGGCGUAAAGCGCGCGUAGGCGGUCUGAUAAGCCGGUUGUGAAAGCCCCGGGCUCAACCUGGGAACGGCAUCCGGAACUGUCAGGCUAGAGUGCAGGAGAGGAAGGUAGAAUUCCCGGUGUAGCGGUGAAAUGCGUAGAGAUCGGGAGGAAUACCAGUGGCGAAGGCGGCCUUCUGGACUGACACUGACGCUGAGGUGCGAAAGCGUGGGUAGCAAACAGGAUUAGAUACCCCAGUAGUC
RNAcentral lists this ribosomal RNA (463 nucleotides) under Vreelandella stevensii. RNAcentral's name for it is "partial 16S ribosomal RNA". It matches the Rfam family "Bacterial small subunit ribosomal RNA", at positions 339 to 795 of the family's 1533-position model. Lineage: Bacteria; Pseudomonadati; Pseudomonadota; Gammaproteobacteria; Oceanospirillales; Halomonadaceae. The record is from RNAcentral.